GACGAACGCUGGCGGCGUGCUUAACACAUGCAAGUCAAGGGGGCCCAGCAAUGGGCAACCGGCGAACGGGUGCGUAACACGUGAGCAACCUACCGAACUGUGGGGGAUAGCCGGCCUAACGGCCGAGUAAUACCGCAUACGCUUUCAGUGAGGCAUUUCAUUGAAAGGAAACCUACGGGACAGAUCGAGGGGCUCGCGGCCUAUCAGCUAGUUGGCGAGGUAACGGCUCACCAAGGCAACGACGGGUAGCUGGUCUGAGAGGAUGGCCAGCCACAUUGGGACUGAGAUACGGCCCAGACUCCUACGGGAGGCAGCAGUGGGGAAUCUUGCGCAAUGGCCUAACGGCUGACGCAGCGACGCCGCGUGUGGGAUGAAGCUCUUCGGAGUGUAAACCACUGUUG
This 401-nucleotide ribosomal RNA is filed under the name uncultured bacterium. RNAcentral's name for it is "bacterial SSU rRNA". It matches the Rfam family "Bacterial small subunit ribosomal RNA", at positions 28 to 438 of the family's 1533-position model. The record is from RNAcentral.